CAGUAGCCGCGGGAAUACGAAGGGUGCAAGCGUUACUCGGAAUUACUGAGCGUAAAGCGUGCGUAGGUGGUGGUUUAAGUCCGUUGUGAAAGCCCUGGGCUCAACCUGGGAAUUGCAGUGGAUACUGGGUCACUAGAGUGUGGUAGAGGAUAGUGGAAUUUCCGGUGUAGCAGUGAAAUGCGUAGAGAUCGGAAGGAACAUCUGUGGCGAAGGCGACUAUCUGGGCCAACACUGACACUGAGGCACGAAAGCGUGGGGAGCAAACAGGAUUAGAUACCCCGGUAGUCCCUGUCUCUUAUAC
This 301-nucleotide ribosomal RNA is filed under the name uncultured bacterium. RNAcentral describes it as "partial 16S ribosomal RNA". It matches the Rfam family "Bacterial small subunit ribosomal RNA", at positions 509 to 807 of the family's 1533-position model. The record is from RNAcentral.